Molecule: ribosomal RNA, 452 nt
Filed under: uncultured bacterium
Lineage: Bacteria
Description: partial 16S ribosomal RNA
Rfam family: Bacterial small subunit ribosomal RNA
Source: RNAcentral
GAUGAACGCUGACAGAAUGCUUAACACAUGCAAGUCAACUUGAACUUCGGUUUGGGUGGCGGACGGGUGAGUAACGCGUAAAGAACUUGCCUCACAGCUAGGGACAACAUUUGGAAACGAAUGCUAAUACCUGAUAUUAUGAUUUUAGGGCAUCCUAGAAUUAUGAAAGCUAUAUGCGCUGUGAGAGAGCUUUGCGUCCCAUUAGCUAGUUGGAGGUAACGGCUCACCAAGGCGAUGAUGGGUAGCCGGCCUGAGAGGGUGAACGGCCACAAGGGGACUGAGACACGGCCCUUACUCCUACGGGAGGCAGCAGUGGGGAAUAUUGGACAAUGGACCAAGAGUCUGAUCCAGCAAUUCUGUGUGCACGAUGAAGUUUUUCGGAAUGUAAAGUGCUUUCAGUUGGGAAGAAAAAAAUGACGGUACCAACAGAAGAAGUGACGGCUAAAUACGUG